This 889-nucleotide ribosomal RNA is filed under the name Hypoxylon howeanum. Its description in RNAcentral is "partial large subunit ribosomal RNA". It matches the Rfam family "Eukaryotic large subunit ribosomal RNA", at positions 69 to 983 of the family's 3401-position model. The record is from RNAcentral. Lineage: Eukaryota; Fungi; Ascomycota; Sordariomycetes; Xylariales; Hypoxylaceae.
CAGGGAUUGCCCUAGUAACGGCGAGUGAAGCGGCAACAGCUCAAAUUUGAAAUCUGGCCCUCGUGGUCCGAGUUGUAAUUUGUAGAGGAUGCUUUUGGUGCGGUGCCUUCCGAGUUCCCUGGAACGGGACGCCAGAGAGGGUGAGAGCCCCGUACGGUUGGACACCUACCCUAUAUAUAGCUCCUUCGACGAGUCGAGUAGUUUGGGAAUGCUGCUCUAAAUGGGAGGUAAAUUUCUUCUAAAGCUAAAUACCGGCCAGAGACCGAUAGCGCACAAGUAGAGUGAUCGAAAGAUGAAAAGCACUUUGAAAAGAGGGUUAAAUAGCACGUGAAAUUGUUGAAAGGGAAGCGUUUGCGACCAGACUUUUUCCAGGCGGAUCAUCCGGUGUUCUCACCGGUGCACUUCGCCUGGUUUAGGCCAGCAUCGGUUCUCUUAGGGGGAUAAAGGCUUGGGGAACGUAGCUCCUUCGGGAGUGUUAUAGCCCCUUGCGUAAUACCCUUCGGGGGACCGAGGAUCGCGCUCUGCAAGGAUGCUGGCGUAAUGGUCGUCAACGACCCGUCUUGAAACACGGACCAAGGAGUCGAACAUUUGUGCGAGUGUUUGGGUGUUAAACCCUCACGCGUAAUGAAAGUGAACGGAGGUGAGAGCCCUUACGGGUGCAUCAUCGACCGAUCCUGAUGUCUUCGGAUGGAUUUGAGUAAGAGCAUAACUGUUCGGACCCGAAAGAUGGUGAACUAUGCGUGGAUAGGGUGAAGCCAGAGGAAACUCUGGUGGAGGCUCGCAGCGGUUCUGACGUGCAAAUCGAUCGUCAAAUCUGCGCAUGGGGGCGAAAGACUUAUCGAACCAUCUAGUAGCUGGUUACCGCCGAAGUCCCCCUCCCAGGAUAAUA